RNAcentral lists this ribosomal RNA (1346 nucleotides) under uncultured bacterium. Its description in RNAcentral is "bacterial SSU rRNA". It matches the Rfam family "Bacterial small subunit ribosomal RNA". The record is from RNAcentral.
CUUAGAGUUUGAUCCUGGUUCAGGAUGACCUUUGGCGGCGUGCUUAACACAUGCAAGUCGAACGAACCUUCGGGUUAGUGGCGGACGGGUGAGUAACGCGUGGGAAUCUGCCCUCAGGAGGGGGAUAACGGUUGGAAACGACCGCUAAUACCCCAUAUGCCGAGAGGUGAAACGAAAUUCGCCUGAGGAUGAGCCCGCGUCUGAUUAGCUAGUUGGUGGGGUAAAGGCCUACCAAGGCAUCGAUCAGUAGCUGGUCUGAGAGGAUGAUCAGCCACACUGGGACUGAGACACGGCCCAGACUCCUACGGGAGGCAGCAGUGGGGAAUUUUCCGCAAUGGGCGCAAGCCUGACGGAGCAACGCCGCGUGAGGGAUGAAGGCCUCUGGGCUGUAAACCUCUUUUCUCAAGGAAGAAGAACUGACGGUACUUGAGGAAUAAGCCACGGCUAAUUCCGUGCCAGCAGCCGCGGUAAUACGGGAGUGGCAAGCGUUAUCCGGAAUUAUUGGGCGUAAAGCGUCCGCAGGCGGCCUUGAAAGUCUGUCGUUAAAGCGUGGAGCUUAACUCCAUUUCGGCGGUGGAAACUACAAGGCUUGAGUGUGGUAGGGGCAGAGGGAAUUCCCGGUGUAGCGGUGAAAUGCGUAGAUAUCGGGAAGAACACCAGUGGCGAAGGCGCUCUGCUGGGCCAUAACUGACGCUCAUGGACGAAAGCUAGGGGAGCGAAAAAGAUUAGAUACCCCUGUAGUCCUAGCCGUAAACGAUGAACACUAGGUGUCGGGGGAAUCGACCCCCUCGGUGUCGUAGCUAACGCGUUAAGUGUUCCGCCUGGGGAGUACGCACGCAAGUGUGAAACUCAAAGGAAUUGACGGGGGCCCGCACAAGCGGUGGAGUAUGUGGUUUAAUUCGAUGCAACGCGAAGAACCUUACCAGGGUUUGACAUCCUGCGAAUCCCUUGGAAACUUGGGAGUGCCUUCGGGAGCGCAGAGACAGGUGGUGCAUGGCUGUCGUCAGCUCGUGUCGUGAGAUGCUGGGUUAAGUCCCGCAACGAGCGCAACCCACGUCUUUAGUUGCCAGCAUUUAGUUGGGCACUCUAGAGAGACCGCCGGUGAUAAACCGGAGGAAGGUGUGGAUGACGUCAAGUCAUCAUGCCCCUUACAUCCUGGGCUACACACGUACUACAAUGCUACGGACAAAGGGUUGCAAACUCGCGAGAGCUAGCUAAUCCCAUAAACCGUGGCUCAGUUCAGAUCGUAGGCUGCAACUCGCCUACGUGAAGGAGGAAUCGCUAGUAAUCGCAGGUCAGCAUACUGCGGUGAAUACGUUCCCGGGCCUUGCACUCACCGCCCGUCA